GCCAGAUCCAAACUGAGAGGGAAGGUGUC
This 29-nucleotide non-coding RNA is filed under the name Homo sapiens (human). The record is from RNAcentral. Lineage: Eukaryota; Metazoa; Chordata; Mammalia; Primates; Hominidae.